CAGCGCUUUGAAUCAAGUUAUGAUGACCGACUUGAUGCCUUCAGCUCAGACUUCUAGCUCUCAUCCAGAGAUGGGCUCGUGGACCGCGCCUGCCUUCAGCACAGGAGGGCCCAGCCAAUCUAUCAAGCCUUGCCGCCUUAGGUCGUAUGUCAUGUCGUUUGAUUCCGAUACGCUCCAGAGGUAUGCGACAGUCAGGUCAAAGGAGGCCUUCGGCAUCAUUGAGAAGCACACGGAAGCGCUAUUUGGGAAGCCAGAGAUUGUGAUCACACCUGAAGGCACCCUUGAUUCUUCCAAGGAUGAGCAUAUUAGGAUAAGCUUUGCUGGGCUGAGAAGGCUGAUCCUGGAGGCUGUUACCUUCGGAUCGUUCCUCUGGGACGUUGAGAGCUUUGUGGAUUCCCGGUACCAUUUCGUGACCAGCUAAGAUGGUCAUCCU
RNAcentral lists this long non-coding RNA (433 nucleotides) under Zea mays. Its description in RNAcentral is "long non-coding RNA (ZMAY_LNC000109)". Lineage: Eukaryota; Viridiplantae; Streptophyta; Magnoliopsida; Poales; Poaceae. The record is from RNAcentral.